UGAGUACGAGACGCUACGGCGUCGAAGCAGUCUAUGUCAUACUUCCAAGAAAAGCUUGCACUGUCAUAAACAAAUAAUGCCUGUACCAUAACCGACACAGGUGGGUAGGUAGAGUAUACUAAGGGGCGCGAGAUAACUCUCUCUAAGGAACUCGGCAAAAUGACUCCGUAACUUCGGGAGAAGGAGUGCCUUAUUCUUAAGGUUGCAAUAACAAGAUCCAAGCAACUGUUUAUCAAAAACACAGGUCUCCGCUAAGUCGUAAGACGAUGUAUGGGGGCUGACGCCUGCCCAGUGCCAGGAGGUUAAAGAAGUUGGUUAGCAUUCGCGAAGCUGAUAACUGAAGCCCUGGUGAACGGCGGCCGUAACAAUAACGGUCCUAAGGUAGCGAAAUUCCUUGUCGGGUAAGUUCCGACCCGCACGAAAGGCGUAAUGAUUUGGAUACUGUCUCGGAGAGGGGCUCGGUGAAAUAGACUUGUCUGUGAAGAUGCGGACUACCUGCACCUGGACAGAAAGACCCUAUGAAGCUUUACUGUAACUUGAAAUUGAAAUUGGACUUUAUUUGCGCAGUAUAGGUGGGAGGCGUUGAGAAUAUUCUUGCGGGAAUAUUGGAGCCAUCAGUGAGAUACCACUCUUGUAAUGUUAGAUUUCUAACUUUGAAUCAUUAUCUGGUCAAAGGACAGUUUCAGGCGGGCAGUUUGACUGGGGCGGUCGCCUCCUAAAUGGUAACGGAGGCGCACAAAGGUUUCCUCUGAACGGGUAGAAAUCGUAUCUAGAGUGUAAAGGCAUAAGGAAGCUUGACUGUGAGACCUACAAGUCGAGCAGGGACGAAAGUCGGUCUUAGUGAUCUGACGGUGCUGAGUGGAAAGGCCGUCACUCAACGGAUAAAAGUUACUCUAAGGAUAACAGGCUGAUCUCCCCCAAGAGUUCACAUCGACGGGGAGGUUUGGCACCUCGAUGUCGGCUCAUCGCAUCCUGGGGCGGUAGUACGUCCCAAGGGUUGGGCUGUUCGCCCAUGAAAGCGGUACGCGAGCUGGGUUCAGAACGUCGUGAGACAGUUCGGUCCAUAUCCGGUGUAGGCGUUAGAAUAUUGAGAGGAGCCUUCUUUAGUACGAGAGGACCGAGAAGGACAUACCUCUGGUGUACCAGUUAUCGUGCCAACGGUAAACGCUGGGUAGCUAUGUAUGGAGAGGAUAACCGCUGAAAGCAUCUAAGUGGGAAGCCCACCUCAAGAUAAGUA
RNAcentral lists this ribosomal RNA (1237 nucleotides) under metagenome. RNAcentral describes it as "bacterial LSU rRNA". It matches the Rfam family "Bacterial large subunit ribosomal RNA", at positions 1564 to 2810 of the family's 2925-position model. The record is from RNAcentral.